Molecule: long non-coding RNA, 251 nt
Organism: Bubalus bubalis (water buffalo)
Lineage: Eukaryota; Metazoa; Chordata; Mammalia; Artiodactyla; Bovidae
Exons: 2
Source: RefSeq, a predicted model, not a curated record
GGGGGUGGGGGCGGUCUUCACCACCCAGAAAUCAAACCUUUUACAUCUCCUGUAUUAGCAGAUGCUGAUUUGGCUACUUGGGGAUCUAGUUUGUGAAGUUUCUCAGGAUCUGAGGACCACAGUGUUUGGAAACCACAGGCGUGGAUAGAGGAAAAGUAUUCAGAAAAGCCAAAGAAUUGAUGUUUUUGAACAGUGGUGCUGGAAAAGACUCUGGAGAGUCUCUUGGACUGCAAGAAGAUUCUAUCAGUCCA